GAUCCAGAAGAUCAUCCGAUUGCACAGUUAUGUUAAAGCUUAAAGCUCAGCUUAGGAAUGCAAUAGGUACAGGCGAAUAGACUUUAUUCAUGUGAAAUCAUUCCCCUGCAUAGUUUCACUUACGGCACACGUAUAUAUAGAUUUUCGUGAUAGCAAUCGCAGAGUGAAUGGUGAAGACACGUGGAGUUACAUAACUUCCAAUUUUUCGCUAUUAUCUAAUCAUCCACUGUUUAUUUGGAUUAAUAAAUCCGAAGAGUGGCGUUAGCUGAACUACCCGAGGGAAAAGUGCAAAUAAAGUGAAAUUCUUGAAAGAAGCAAAGGGAUAGGAGUACUGGAAAAUCUUAAUACAGCCAAGCCGGCCAACCAAUCUACGGUAUCAACUACUGAAACAACAAAGCUGGCCGUUUGGGAGCUAGUGCAGUGCACAUCCACGGCGGCAAAGUGAAGGCUGAACCGUUGACGUUGGGCUAGCUCAAUAUCGGAAAUCAUUUACGGCUCGUGAAA
This is a long non-coding RNA of Drosophila miranda, 504 nucleotides long. RefSeq lists it as uncharacterized. The record is from RefSeq and is a predicted model, not a curated record. NCBI's taxonomy places the organism in Eukaryota, Metazoa, Arthropoda, Insecta, Diptera, Drosophilidae. The transcript has 2 exons.